AGCCCUUGACAUGGGCGUCGCGGGUGGGGAGACCCACCUUUCGGUUCGGCCGGACGCCGCACAGGUGCUGCAUGGCUGUCGUCAGCUCGUGUCGUGAGAUGUUGGGUUAAGUCCCGCAACGAGCGCAACCCUCAUCUUCAGUUGCCAUCGGGUAGAGCCGGGCACUCUGGAGAAACCGCCGGUGACAAGCCGGAGGAAGGCGGGGAUGACGUCAAGUCCUCAUGGCCCUUAUGGGCUGGGCUACACACGUGCUACAAUGGUGGUGACAGUGGGCAGCGAGAUCGCGAGAUCGAGCCAAUCUCCAAAAGCCAUCUCAGUUCGGAUUGCACUCUGCAACUCGGGUGCAUGAAGUUGGAAUCGCUAGUAAUCGCGGAUCAGCACGCCGCGGUGAAUACGUUCCCGGGCC
Molecule: ribosomal RNA, 406 nt
Filed under: uncultured bacterium
Lineage: Bacteria
Description: bacterial SSU rRNA
Rfam family: Bacterial small subunit ribosomal RNA
Source: RNAcentral